This 498-nucleotide ribosomal RNA is filed under the name uncultured bacterium. RNAcentral's name for it is "partial 16S ribosomal RNA". It matches the Rfam family "Bacterial small subunit ribosomal RNA", at positions 30 to 523 of the family's 1533-position model. The record is from RNAcentral.
AUUGAACGCUGGCGGCAUGUUUUACACAUGCAAGUCGAACGGUAACGCGGGGCAACCUGGCGACGAGUGGCGAACGGGUGAGUAAUGCAUCGGAACGUGCCCAGUAGUGGGGGAUAGCUCGGCGAAAGCCGGAUUAAUACCGCAUACGACCUACGGGUGAAAGCGGGGGACCGUAAGGCCUCGCGCUAUUGGAGCGGCCGAUGUCAGAUUAGGUUGUUGGUAGGGUAAAGGCCUACCAAGCCGACGGUCUGUAGCUGGUCUGAGAGGAUGAUCAGCCACACUGGGAUUGAGACACGGCCCAGACUCCUACGGGAGGCAGCAGUGGGGAAUUUUGGACAAUGGACGCAAGUCUGAUCCAGCCGUUCCGCGUGCAGGAUGAAGGCCCUCGGGUUGUAAACUGCUUUUGUACAGAACGAAAAGGCUCUGGUUAAUACCUGGGGCUCAUGACGGUACUGUAAGAAUAAGCACCGGCUAACUACGUGCCAGCCGCCGCGGUAA